AGCAUAUCAAUAAGCGGAGGAAAAGAAACCAACAGGGAUUGCCUUAGUAGCGGCGAGUGAAGCGGCAAAAGCUCAAAUUUGAAAUCUGGCGCCUUCGGUGUCCGAGUUGUAAUUUGAAGAUUGUAACCUUGGGGUUGGCUCUUGUCUAUGUUUCUUGGAACAGGACGUCACAGAGGGUGAGAAUCCCGUGCGAUGAGAUGCCCAAUUCUAUGUAAGGUGCUUUCGAAGAGUCGAGUUGUUUGGGAAUGCAGCUCUAAGUGGGUGGUAAAUUCCAUCUAAAGCUAAAUAUUGGCGAGAGACCGAUAGCGAACAAGUACAGUGAUGGAAAGAUGAAAAGAACUUUGAAAAGAGAGUGAAAAAGUACGUGAAAUUGUUGAAAGGGAAGGGUUUGAGAUCAGACUCGAUAUUUUGUGAGCCUUGCCUUCGUGGCGGGGUGACCCGCAGCUUAUCGGGCCAGCAUCGGUUUGGGCGGUAGGAUAAUGGCGUAGGAAUGUGACUUUACUUCGGUGAAGUGUUAUAGCCUGCGUUGAUGCUGCCUGCCUAGACCGAGGACUGCGAUUUUAUCAAGGAUGCUGGCAUAAUGAUCCCAAACCGCCCGU
Molecule: ribosomal RNA, 599 nt
Filed under: Meyerozyma guilliermondii
Lineage: Eukaryota; Fungi; Ascomycota; Pichiomycetes; Serinales; Debaryomycetaceae
Description: LSU rRNA
Rfam family: Eukaryotic large subunit ribosomal RNA
Source: RNAcentral